Molecule: non-coding RNA, 356 nt
Organism: Pelobates cultripes (western spadefoot toad)
Lineage: Eukaryota; Metazoa; Chordata; Amphibia; Anura; Pelobatidae
Source: the annotation of a GenBank genome assembly
GCUAACCUCAGGAUAAAACAGGCACUCUGUAACUAUAGCUGACACCGAACAAUAACUUCAUGGAAUGUAUGCAAAACAUUGGUAACUGAAAAUAAAAAAUACACAACAAUAUACUAAAAUAACCACAUAGCCUGCCUACCGCCAUCCCACUCUCCCCUAGUCUUGCAUCUUUUAAGAAGUGCCUUAAAACCCAUCUCUUUAGGAAAGCUUAUGGCCUCCAAGACUAACCCCUACCUCACAUACCCGUCUCUUGCCCUCUCCUAAAGGGCAGCCCACCUUAUUUGAUUGCAAAUUCCUGUCCUAAUGUGUUUUACACCCCACCUCCUAUAGAAUGUAAGCUCGAUUGAGCAGGGUCC